Molecule: ribosomal RNA, 465 nt
Filed under: Vreelandella stevensii
Lineage: Bacteria; Pseudomonadati; Pseudomonadota; Gammaproteobacteria; Oceanospirillales; Halomonadaceae
Description: partial 16S ribosomal RNA
Rfam family: Bacterial small subunit ribosomal RNA
Source: RNAcentral
CAUACGGGAGGCUGCAGUGGGGAAUAUUGGACAAUGGGGGGAACCCUGAUCCAGCCAUGCCGCGUGUGUGAAGAAGGCCCUCGGGUUGUAAAGCACUUUCAGUGAGGAAGAACGCCUGGUGGUUAAUACCCAUCAGGAAAGACAUCACUCACAGAAGAAGCACCGGCUAACUCCGUGCCAGCAGCCGCGGUAAUACGGAGGGUGCGAGCGUUAAUCGGAAUUACUGGGCGUAAAGCGCGCGUAGGUGGCUUGAUAAGCCGGUUGUGAAAGCCCCGGGCUCAACCUGGGAACGGCAUCCGGAACUGUCAAGCUAGAGUGCAGGAGAGGAAGGUAGAAUUCCCGGUGUAGCGGUGAAAUGCGUAGAGAUCGGGAGGAAUACCAGUGGCGAAGGCGGCCUUCUGGACUGACACUGACACUGAGGUGCGAAAGCGUGGGUAGCAAACAGGAUUAGAUACCCGAGUAGUC